UACGGAGGGAGCUAGCGUUGUUCGGAAUUACUGGGCGUAAAGAGUACGUAGGCGGUUAUUCAAGUCAGAGGUGAAAGCCCGGGGCUCAACCCCGGAACUGCCUUUGAAACUAGAUAACUAGAGUCUUGGAGAGGUUAGUGGAAUUCCGAGUGUAGAGGUGAAAUUCGUAGAUAUUCGGAAGAACACCAGUGGCGAAGGCGACUAACUGGACAAGUACUGACGCUGAGGUACGAAAGCGUGGGGAGCAAACAGG
RNAcentral lists this ribosomal RNA (253 nucleotides) under uncultured bacterium. RNAcentral describes it as "partial 16S ribosomal RNA". It matches the Rfam family "Bacterial small subunit ribosomal RNA", at positions 524 to 776 of the family's 1533-position model. The record is from RNAcentral.